CAGUCGCCACGGUAAUACAGAGGGUGCGAGCGUUAAUCGGAUUUACUGGGCGUAAAGCGUGCGUAGGCGGCUUUUUAAGUCGGAUGUGAAAUCCCUGAGCUUAACUUAGGAAUUGCAUUCGAUACUGGGAAGCUAGAGUAUGGGAGAGGAUGGUAUAAUUCCAGGUGUAGCGGUGAAAUGCGUAGAGAUCUGGAGGAAUACCGAUGGCGAAGGCAGCCAUCUGGCCUAAUACUGACGCUGAGGUACGAAAGCAUGGGGAGCAAACAGGAUUAGAUACCCCUGUAGUCCCUGUCUCUUAUAC
RNAcentral lists this ribosomal RNA (301 nucleotides) under uncultured bacterium. RNAcentral's name for it is "partial 16S ribosomal RNA". It matches the Rfam family "Bacterial small subunit ribosomal RNA", at positions 509 to 807 of the family's 1533-position model. The record is from RNAcentral.